RNAcentral lists this ribosomal RNA (442 nucleotides) under uncultured Actinomycetes bacterium. RNAcentral describes it as "bacterial SSU rRNA". It matches the Rfam family "Bacterial small subunit ribosomal RNA", at positions 341 to 792 of the family's 1533-position model. The record is from RNAcentral. Lineage: Bacteria; Bacillati; Actinomycetota; Actinomycetes.
ACGGGAGGCAGCAGUGGGGAAUCUUGCGCAAUGGGCGAAAGCCUGACGCAGCGACGCCGCGUGGGGGACGAAGGCCUUUCAGGUCGUAAACCCCUUUCGGCAGGGACGAAGCGAUCUCGUGACGGUACCUGCAGAAGAAGCCUCGGCUAACUACGUGCCAGCAGCCGCGGUAACACGUAGGAGGCGAGCGUUGUCCGGAAUCAUUGGGCGUAAAGAGCGCGCAGGCGGCCCGGCAAGUCGGGUGUGAAAUCUCGGGGCUCAACCCCGGAACUGCAUCCGAUACUGCCGGGCUAGAGGUAGGUAGGGGAGAUCGGAAUUCCUGGUGUAGCGGUGAAAUGCGCAGAUAUCAGGAGGAACACCGGUGGCGAAGGCGGAUCUCUGGGCCUUACCUGACGCUCAGGCGCGAAAGCUAGGGGAGCGAACAGGAUUAGAUACCCUGGUA